Molecule: long non-coding RNA, 2787 nt
Organism: Cercocebus atys (sooty mangabey)
Lineage: Eukaryota; Metazoa; Chordata; Mammalia; Primates; Cercopithecidae
Exons: 2
Source: RefSeq, a predicted model, not a curated record
UUUGUCUUCCAUCUUUUCCUCCUAACACAUUUUCUCCUCCUCUUCAACCUUUGAAGUGAACUUCUUCGUGUAGCAAGGCACUAAAGCUACCCAGGUUUCCGAUAAGCAGCUUCAAUUCUCAACAGGGCACAGAUGUCACCUGUUGUUAUCAAAACUGGCAAAAGUCAAUGGCUAAAAGUCAAAGAGUUGAUGAAAAAAUAGGUGUUGAAAACACCAGCUGCAGCAGUUUAAGCAACAUGUCAAAGGGUUUUGAAGCCAAUAUCAGGCAGUCUUCAUACAGGAAAAUGUUAGAGAAGAUGCUGUGAAGACCCCUUGUUUCUUAAACAGGCAAAGCUCCCUGCUUUGGCAGAACUGAUUCCAGACCUGAAAAUGUUUGGAAACAUUUAAGUUUUUCCCCUUAUUUUCCUCUGAUGUGGGAACUUCCACACUGAGUAAUUUUGAAUUCUAGAGGUGUGGUUAGUAAUGUUAAUGCCAGUCAUGGCUGAGAUAGAUGCCAGUCCAUAAGAGUCUCGACCAAGGUAUCUCUUUUGUAACUGUUUCAGCUUUCUGCGCACUUUUUGCCCUUUUUCAUUUAAAUGGAUAUAUCAAGGGGCUGGUUGGUUAACUUAAUCGAUUAAACCUAAGUGGCAGGAUUCUGGUUUCAAAUUGUGCAAUGCAGAUUAAAGGGGAAAAAUGUGUUUUGGAUUCUCAGACUAGAAGUAAUUAGUAUACAGUAGUUCUAAUAUAUAAUAGUGCAAGAUUUUGAGAGAAAAUGAAGAAUUUAGUUCAAACUAGGAUGAAAAGGGAAACAAUCUACUCAAAACAAAUAUGCUUUACUGAUGCGUAGUCUCCUCACCUUGCAUGGGCCCUACCAUAGGCAAGGUGUCAAGAAACUAAAAAGAAAGUACAACCCAGUGCCUUCAGGUGUAAAAGUCCUGAGAAAAUGAACGCACAGAGAAAAAAUAGGUUUAGACAGAAAAUUGAGACGAUGACUGGGUGUUGCUCUAAGCCCUUGGUAUUUAUUAUAUUUCUUCCUGAAAAAGAGUUUUUGGUCUAGAAAUUAACGUUUUAUGUUUCCAUAUGCGUGAACAUUUUUGAGUGCUAUUAAGAAUGUCCAUAGAAAAUUCAGGUCACAUUGACUAUUUAGACUACACUUGCCAGGGCAUAUUUUUGAAACCUCAUUUCUAUUUUUGUGAGCUAAAAUUUUGCAGGUGGUAAGGUGGUAGAUGCAAAUAUCAUAAUGUGAAUAUGAGCCAAUUAACCAACAACCACAUUUUAUGAGGUUGCAACCACCUAAUUGUUUUGUGUCUGCAGCUAAUUAUUUCUGGGAGAUAUUUCUGCGUAUGGAAAAGGAGUCUGUUAUUAUAAUUGAGUGUACAGCAAAACAAAAGUUCUGCUGUAAGUACAUCAAGGGCAAGGAUCACAUCUUCUCUGUGUUCCGUAAAAUUCCAUAAAUCACUUCGGGCCCAUGGAUUCUAAAUGAAUAUAAACUGCUAAUGGUGACAUGAUUCUAAAGUCUGGAAAACAAAUUGAAUAUCCAGCUGCAGUGAAUAAUAUCCAGGAUAUAAAAUAUCAACAAAAUUUUGAGUGGUUGGUAUUAUUAACUCAUUGAUGCCAUUUCUCAUAGACUCAGAAUUUUUCAGAUGGAAAAAAAUCGACUCCAAUGUCGCUACCUUAAAGUUUGAAAAUUAUGGUCAUGAUAAAUUAUGUGACCUACUCAAAGACUUGUGAUGCCAUUAGGCCUAACCCCUAAGGGGCACAAUGUCUAAACCAGUGCCCUCCAGAAAAGGCUCAGCACUUUCCCAAUUUUUACUUUAAGAUGUUAGAGGCAAUACAUGUCAACAGAAAACAUGUCUAUUAAACCCAUGCAUGCCAGGCCUACGGGAGCUCUGACAAGUUUAUUUAAUUACAGGAGGCUAAACUUGUUCUUAUAAAUUGGUCUGUCCAGACAAAGUCGUGGACAAAGUAAGUAGUUUUAUGCAGAUAAGUUUUAUUUUUGUUAUUAUUGCAGCUGCUCAUUGAUAUUUUAAUGUAAGUUUUUAUUGAGCUAUGCCCUGAGGCUUUUUAAAUUGAGGGUUCAAUUAUUUAUAAAAUCUAAUAAUUAAGUAAAUUAAUGAGCCUAGUCAGAAAUCUGGCAACUUGACUGGAUGGAUUAGACACAAGAAAUACUAAUGGAAAGGGGUUUUUUUUUCCAUCUUUACAGGAAAAUCUUUUAAAAUAUUUUAGACUACGUUUUCUAGAUGUACACAAAAAGUCUGAGGCUGAGAUUUGCAGGUGAAUCAGUACACAAAUGCAGGUCAGAGAUAGAGCUUAACAACAGAUGGGGGUGGGCUGGGCAUAACUUGUGAUCUAAGUUGCCCCUCUUGCCAAGGCAAUUUAGAGUUUUACCAAGUAUGGCUUCCAGAAAUACAGAGGAAUAGCACAGUGUUCACAUCUCUUUACUUAAAGAUUGAAAACUGAUAAAUUAUGGCAUGUCCAGAAGAACGUAACUAUAAUGGCCACUCAGAACCAAAAGAUGAGACCAAAUUACAGAAACUAAAAAUGGUUAACUUGGAGAAGGCUACAUCCUCAAGUACAUGGAUAUGAGAAAGUCUUGGCUGCAUUAUUGUUUUUCAACAUUGCCUCUGCUGACCUCAUAGGAGGAAUGGUGUAUGGUGUUUCUUCUUCUCUCCCAUGUCAUGGAAGACACUCCUGAUGGCAUGUGGUCUGUAGGAAAGAAUAAUCACCUCAGUAACUUAAUGUAUGUAUGUUAUGUGUGUGUGUGUGUGUCUGACACACUGUAGGUACAUAAUAAAGAUUUGAAAAUAU